AAAGUGCCCCUGAAACCUUUACUCUUCCGUAGUAUAUUUUAUUUAAGGAUUUGGGGGAUUGGUUUGUUUGCUUUUGUUUUUAAAGAUAGCAUCUCUGGCAUCCCAGACUGGCCUCGAACUCCCUCUGUAGCCAAGGAUGACCUUGAACUCCUUAUCCUCCUGCCUCUAUUGAAUACUGGGUGACACAGGCUGCAGCACUACGUAUUAGAAGGCUUCGGGGAUGAAUGUACGGCAGUCCCAGCACCUUGGAGGCACAGUGUUUCUCCAUGUAAGCACCGGCUGUUCUGGAACUCUCUGUACACCAGGCUAGCCUUGAACUCACAAAUAUCUACCUGCCUCUGCCUUCCCAGUGUGGGGCACCUGUGCCCUGCAUGUGUGUAGAGGUCCAAGGGCAACUUGUGGGAGUUGCUGGAGCUCAGGUCCUCAGGCUUGGCAGCGAGUGCCUUUACUUGCUGAGCCAUCUCACCAGACCUGAAUAUGUAGCAUGCUUUAAUUGUAGCUAUUUGUAACAUUUUCAGAAAUUAAAAAAAAAACACUCAGACUAAAUACAGAAAAUAAAACAACAUUUUAAGC
This 573-nucleotide long non-coding RNA is filed under the name Rattus norvegicus (Norway rat). RNAcentral describes it as "long non-coding RNA NONRATT028202". The record is from RNAcentral. Lineage: Eukaryota; Metazoa; Chordata; Mammalia; Rodentia; Muridae.